AGAGAAGCAAGAAGCUCCCUACGUUGCAUGUGGGUAAAAUCGAGGCAGAGAAGAGCAUGCACAGAGGACAGACAGCUUCUCCCGCAGUUGCCUGGGGAGGACUCCUAGAGGAGUGGUUUCCGAAUGUUUGGAGCAGUAAACUGCCAGUAGCCUUCAAAUUUUCUGUGGACCACAGACUUAUGCAUGGAUCAGAUUCUGCAACUGCAUUCAUGACUGGAACACUCUUAAGAGUCCCUUUGCCUCCAGGACCCACUGCAGUGAAGUAUCGCAGAUAUUUGGCUGGAACCUAGCUGUGAGGUCCAUGGCUGCCUGGCAGGCCUUCAAAAUGAAGAGGGCAAACUGAAGGAGUGUAAUUUUUUCCUUGCUCCUCUUAUCCACUCUGGCUGCUGGGAUUUCUGUGACAGAACCACUGAGGGUUAGUGAGUUUUUCUCUAGUAUAGUGGUCCUGACAAAUACUGAAAGAUGCCACCUGCCUGGCUGUUUGUCUGCAGUGGUGAACCUCGUCCCCUAAACUUGUGGAUGCUUCUCCAACUGUCUAGACCUUUCAUGAUUCAUGGAUGCUCCUGGAGAGUAAAACCCUUCAUCUAAACACAACAGCACUUUGGAGAGAAAGUAUCAAAUCCACAUCUGCAAAAAGUAGCUGGCCUUGUCUUCUUCAGAUGCAACUGAAACACCAAGCAAGUUCAGCUCUGAUUUUAGUCCUCAUGCCUUAGGCUCACUCUUGUUCAGUAAGUCACUUAAAUGUGUACAGUCUUAGAGAAACUAUGUGGGUGUAAGAGUGUCUGCAGCUCCUGGGCACCUGUUGGUUUCAAUGUCAGACCAGAAAAAGUUUAUUAAAAGACAUGACGUAGCCCAUUUAUUUUGGUCGAGAGUUUUUGGCCAUGCAAUCUGAUUUGCCUGUGGGUGACAUAUUAUACUGGACAGUUCCUUAUAUAGCCUCGGUUUUUUAACAUUGUAGAUCACACCCUUAUCUUGUUUGUUUCACAGCCCUCCCCCCAGCUCACCCGCCUGCGCCAGAAUACAGUUGCUUUAUUUUUAGAUAAUUAACCUUUUCUUUUGCCAGCAGUAGGUGAAGUGCAGGGCCUCAUAAUUGACGAACUGUUGUCUCUGACUUCCAUACACUCCGCCGUGGGGACAUUCAAUCAUUAUUAGGGCUGAAACCUCAGCCUGAAUCCAUGACACAGAGUUGCCUUAUUAUUUAUCCUGAGUAGGUACACAGCAGAAAUCAAUGAAGUGAAUGAUUAUUAUUGCCCAGAACUGACUGGAAUUUAGAUGCUGAAUGAUCUACCCAAAUGAAUUUUUAAAAAGAAAGAGAUGCAAAGUGACUGCGUAACAAUAAGUUACACUUGAAAACACAGCUCUCAUUUAGGAGAUGAACAUUUGACUGUAACUGGAUUUUCAGUGCCUAGUUAGCAGAAAAAUGUGAGAGACUUUAUUGACUAGCAAAUUUCUCAGGAAGGUUGUUGGUUAAAGCAGCACCUAAAUAUUUAAAUAAAAGACAGUGCCCGUGCCUUCA
Molecule: long non-coding RNA, 1516 nt
Filed under: Struthio camelus australis
Lineage: Eukaryota; Metazoa; Chordata; Aves; Struthioniformes; Struthionidae
Description: lncRNA (ENSSCUG00000012399.1)
Source: RNAcentral